RNAcentral lists this ribosomal RNA (468 nucleotides) under uncultured bacterium. RNAcentral describes it as "partial 16S ribosomal RNA". It matches the Rfam family "Bacterial small subunit ribosomal RNA", at positions 28 to 507 of the family's 1533-position model. The record is from RNAcentral.
GACGAACGCUGGCGGCGUGCUUAACACAUGCAAGUCGAACGGAAAGGCCCUGCUUUUGUGGGGUGCUCGAGUGGCGAACGGGUGAGUAACACGUGAGUAACCUGCCCUUGACUUUGGGAUAAAUUCAGGAAACUGGGGCUAAUACCGGAUAGGAGCUCCUGCUGCAUGGUGGGGGUUGGAAAGUUUCGGCGGUUGGGGAUGGACUCGCGGCUUAUCAGCUUGUUGGGGGGGUAGUGGCUUACCAAGGCUUUGACGGGUAGCCGGCCUGAGAGGGUGACCGGCCACAUUGGGACUGAGAUACGGCCCAGACUCCUACGGGAGGCAGCAGUGGGGAAUAUUGCACAAUGGGCGGAAGCCUGAUGCAGCAACGCCGCGUGCGGGAUGACGGCCUUCGGGUUGUAAACCGCUUUCGCCUGUGACGAAGCGUGAGUGACGGUAAUGGGUAAAGAAGCACCGGCUAACUACGUG